CAGAGGUUUUAAUGAAAGCUCAACUUUCAAGAAACAGAGGUAGAGCCAAUGCCAGCAUCCAAUGACAACGACCAUUGCCAGCACUGACUUUUAAAGUCUACUAGCAGGACAUACGAUUUGCCGCAAGGUUUGGCUGAUGUUGACUCCUGGUAAUUGAGUCCUCUGGCUGACGAAGCUGGCUUACUGUGAGUGUACUGCGUGGUGGACCCACCUCUGCCCAUACAGCACCUGCCCUGAGUGAACAUGAGCUUCAAGCCAGGAGCCAGCCCACUUCAUCUCUGUGGGCCCAGAGCCCAGGGCUAUGCUUGCAUACAUCUUGGAAACGCCAACAAACAGCUGUUAAACCAAAUCUAUUUGGAUACUACAAAUUUUAAAGAUCCAUUAAAAAAGGAUCUGCUUUAUACAGAUAACCAAGUUGAAAAAACAUCUUGAUAGGUCAUAUAAAUCAGAGAUGUCUGCAUGUGCAGAUGCAAGACAAAACCACCAGGGAGCAUGGCCUGCCUUAGUCUGAACCCAGAUAAAAGCAAACGGAACAGACUGCUACGCAGACUGGGGGAUCCAGGAGCUUGCACUUUUUCUGCAUGCAGCCUUUCCUUUGGGAAGGCAGAUCCCUCCCUCCACCCUUGCUUCAGGACUCCCAUUCUGCUUUUAUGUUAACUCCCUCUCCACAAGCACAUGCAGACAGACAGAGAGAUACUGCUGCAAAGGCACUCUCCACCCCUCAAUAGCCUAAAGAGUCUGUGAGUCAUUUGCACUUGUGGCUGACUAGGAGCAUGCAUGUCAUUAAAACUCACUUGCAUGCACGUGUUACUGGACAAAGAAAGGUAGGUCUUCCCUUAUUAUAACACUCAGACAUCACUAAGUUGCAGGAGAUUAUUCUGGAACUAUUGGUACCUGAAAUAAAAGUUCACUUACUCAGCUGGCCAAACCUGGUGUGUUUAGGAAAACUUAGAAAGGAGGGCUGUGCUUGUGGACAGGGGCUGGGAACAUUGUAGGCCUAGUUCUGCUUGCUGGGAAGAGAAGAGCCAGACUCUUCUCAUAAACUUGCUUUCAAAUUUUUCUCCCUCUGAUGCCGCUCCUCCUGUCUGGGCUCCCACUAGUGCCCCACCUCUCUUCCUGCUGUUUCUCCCCUCCUUACCAGUGUACCAUGCCUCACUAGUCCCUCUUUCCCAAGACUCCUAGGUUGUGCACUACACAAGAGCCCUUGGUGACAGGGCUACGUCAGGGCAGAACCCCAGCUCAUGAUCCAUCCCCCAAGAAGUGCAUCCUGAGGAAUUUCCAAACCUUUUCCAAAUUUGUAUAAAAGGUGCUUUAUGGGCUGUCAAUGGCUUCAUCCUCCUACUUAUCCACCCUACAGAUUGUUAUUCAGUAGGUGUAAGGUGGGGACCAGGAAUAUACAAGUUAAAACAGUUCACAGGUGACAGGGAUGUUACAUAGGGCUGGGAACCAGGAUGGAGACAGAGUAUAUUUCCCACACAGCUGGAAUGACAUCCUAAUUAGCUGUAAUGCUCAGUGAAGAGGUGUUCUGGCUGACCGUCAGAGCAGAAGGGAAGAAAAAAGUCAGCAUGUUUUUACUGUUUGGGGAAAAUACUUUAUAAAGCAUAUAACUGCACUACUCUGGACACACACACACAUAUACACACACACCUAAUUAGAUUUCUUUGACAUCUGGAAUUUCAGAGUAAUCAUUUUGAAAAGUCAGUUUCAUUUUAUAGUUGUGUGUGUGUGUGUGUGUGUGUGUGUACUUGUGUGGAAGAAAGAACACAGGGCACAGCCUAUAUCAUGGAUGGUGUUCCA
This is a long non-coding RNA of Manis javanica (Malayan pangolin), 1797 nucleotides long. RefSeq lists it as uncharacterized. The record is from RefSeq and is a predicted model, not a curated record. NCBI's taxonomy places the organism in Eukaryota, Metazoa, Chordata, Mammalia, Pholidota, Manidae.